GGCUAUGAGGGUGAUCUGGCUGUGACAUCUGUCAUCCCAUUGAUUACCAGUGUUGAUUCAGCUGACCUGGCUAGACUUUUGUACCCCUCAUACCUCAGUGUUCCCUAUGCCUCUGUCCCAAGGCUGCACACUUGGUCUGAGAGGGCGACAAGUUUUCCCACUGAGAAGGACUGGUCUUAGUCAUGGGUAUACAAAUAGGCUGUGAUCCCCUGCUACAAUCUCCAAACAACCAGUACUGAGUCAGAACUAAGCCAGUAGACCUGCAUUCCAUCCAGGUCUCCU
Molecule: small nuclear RNA, 282 nt
Filed under: Ochotona princeps (American pika)
Lineage: Eukaryota; Metazoa; Chordata; Mammalia; Lagomorpha; Ochotonidae
Description: 7SK RNA (ENSOPRG00000020942.1)
Rfam family: 7SK RNA
About the family: 7SK was discovered as an abundant small nuclear RNA in the mid-70s but a possible function has only recently been suggested. Two independent studies have found that 7SK RNA binds the CDK9/cyclin T complex (known as elongation factor P-TEFb). P-TEFb activates transcription by phosphorylating the C-terminal domain of RNA polymerase II.
Source: RNAcentral